RNAcentral lists this ribosomal RNA (497 nucleotides) under uncultured bacterium. RNAcentral describes it as "partial 16S ribosomal RNA". It matches the Rfam family "Bacterial small subunit ribosomal RNA", at positions 28 to 507 of the family's 1533-position model. The record is from RNAcentral.
GAUGAACGCUGGCGGCGUGCCUAAUACAUGCAAGUCGAGCGAACGGACGAGAAGCUUGCUUCUCUGAUGUUAGCGGCGGACGGGUGAGUAACACGUGGAUAACCUACCUAUAAGACUGGGAUAACUUCGGGAAACCGGAGCUAAUACCGGAUGAUAUUUUGAACCGCAUGGUUCAAUAGUGAAAGACGGUUUUGCUGUCACUUAUAGAUGGAUCCGCGCUGCAUUAGCUAGUUGGUAAGGUAACGGCUUACCAAGGCGACGAUGCAUAGCCGGCCUGAGAGGGUGAUCGGCCACACUGGAACUGAGACACGGUCCAGACUCCUACGGGAGGCAGCAGUAGGGAAUCUUCCGCAAUGGGCGAAAGCCUGACGGAGCAACGCCGCGUGAGUGAUGAAGGUCUUCGGAUCGUAAAACUCUGUUAUUAGGGAAGAACAUAUGUGUAAGUAACUGUGCACGUCUUGACGGUACCCAAUCAGAAAGCCACGGCUAACUACGUG